UGGGGGGGGAAACCCGUGAUGCAGCGACGCCGCGUGGGUGAAGAAGCGCCUCGGCGCGUAAAGCCCUGUCAGCAGGGAAGAAAAUGACGGUACCUGAAGAAGAAGCCCCGGCUAACUACGUGCC
RNAcentral lists this ribosomal RNA (124 nucleotides) under uncultured bacterium. Its description in RNAcentral is "partial 16S ribosomal RNA". It matches the Rfam family "Bacterial small subunit ribosomal RNA", at positions 372 to 509 of the family's 1533-position model. The record is from RNAcentral.